This 100-nucleotide transfer RNA is filed under the name Malassezia globosa. Its description in RNAcentral is "tRNA-Ala". It matches the Rfam family "tRNA". From Rfam's summary of the family: Transfer RNA (tRNA) molecules are approximately 80 nucleotides in length. Their secondary structure includes four short double-helical elements and three loops (D, anti-codon, and T loops). Further hydrogen bonds mediate the characteristic L-shaped molecular structure. tRNAs have two regions of fundamental functional importance: the anti-codon, which is responsible for specific mRNA codon recognition, and the 3' end, to which the tRNAs corresponding amino acid is attached (by aminoacyl-tRNA synthetases). tRNAs cope with the degeneracy of the genetic code in two manners: having more than one tRNA (with a specific anti-codon) for a particular amino acid; and 'wobble' base-pairing, i.e. permitting non-standard base-pairing at the 3rd anti-codon position. Lineage: Eukaryota; Fungi; Basidiomycota; Malasseziomycetes; Malasseziales; Malasseziaceae. RNAcentral also lists the same sequence under 1 other name. The record is from RNAcentral.
GGGCGUGUGGUCUAGUGGUAUGACGUCUGCUUCGCACCUGCGAUGUCAACUAAACAGUUGAACCAGCAGAAGGUCCCGGGUUCAAAUCCCGACUCGUCCA